Molecule: ribosomal RNA, 406 nt
Filed under: uncultured bacterium
Lineage: Bacteria
Description: partial 16S ribosomal RNA
Rfam family: Bacterial small subunit ribosomal RNA
Source: RNAcentral
AUUGAACGCUGGCGGCAGGCCUAACACAUGCAAGUCGAACGAGUGGCGGACGGGUGAGUAAUGUAUGGGGAACUGCCCGAUGGAGGGGGAUAACUACUGGAAACGGUGGCUAAUACCGCCUACCAUCGGAUGAGCCCAGAUGGGAUUAGCUAGUAGGUGGGGUAAUGGCUCACCUAGGCGACGAUCCCUAGCUGGUCUGAGAGGAUGACCAGCAACACUGGAACGGAGACACGGUCCAGACGCCUACGGGAGGCAGCAGUGGGGAAUAUUGCACAAUGGGCGCAAGCCUGAUGCAGCCAUGCCGCGUGUAUGAAGAAGGCCUUAGGGUUGUAAAGUACUUUCAGCGAGGAGGCGUUACUCGCAGAAGAAGCACCGGCUAACUCCGUGCCAGCAGCCGCGGUAAUAC